GGGCCCUAUAGGAGAGCACUGAUGGCCCACCCCUGAUUGUGGCCCUGGUCUUCAUGUCUGCAUCAGCCUCAGCCAUCUCAAGACCACAACAGGAACAUAGCCAAGUCAGAGAAGGAAGACCAAAAGCACCAGGGCCCUUCAUAUUAUUAAGCUGCUAAAUUAACUAAUCUUGGAAACUUCUAGACUCUACAAUUCUUGUUGUAUGAGAAAUCAUCUACUACAUAAAAUUCUGGUUUCAUACUUGGCCAUUCCUGCUUAACGGAGCUAACAAAGAAAUUUAAGAGUGGAUUGACAAUUAUUCUCUGGACUUUUUGGUAACCAAGAACUUCUAGCAACUAACCCUGGCAUGACCACCAGAAUCUGCAGGGCUGAGAGAAGAAAGAAAGGCAAAAGUGGAUGAAUGCAGCUGAAGAUGCUGUGGAACUCCUAUCACAUUCCAAGUGCUGUGUUGAUAUCUGGAGAUAUAGACAAGAUCGAAGCAGAUGCAGUCUUUCACAUGAAUAUUUGAAUCAGGCAGAUGCAGGUGAUGGGUAUUGGCCUCAGCUUUAGAGACCAGAGGUUAAAUCUCAGUGCUGCCUGCCACAAAACGAUCCAUGUAAGUCAAUAAACAAUGCUUUUUAAAA
This is a long non-coding RNA of Homo sapiens (human), 623 nucleotides long. Ensembl annotates it as long intergenic non-protein coding RNA 2612. The record is from Ensembl. Lineage: Eukaryota; Metazoa; Chordata; Mammalia; Primates; Hominidae.